Molecule: long non-coding RNA, 232 nt
Organism: Cyprinus carpio (common carp)
Lineage: Eukaryota; Metazoa; Chordata; Actinopteri; Cypriniformes; Cyprinidae
Source: Ensembl
ACAUGAUGAAAAAUAACUACUUUGAUUUCUUCGAUUUCACAGAUACUAUUUGAACUGAACUGAGCUGGAUGAUGAGAUCACUGAAUCAAUAAAGAAAACUGGAAAAUUGAGUUUCCAGUUGCUUCAUUACCACACUACUGUAGCUAUUCCUGCACCAUGGUGAGGUGACUGCUCCUGUUCUCUUGAUUCGUGGGACAUGAGAACUCCUAAUGGCUUUCAGCACCAACAAGAG